CUGUACAGUUCUCUUUAUCCAGUCCUCCUCUUGGUAUCCUUUUGAUUUUCAGGGUGGCUUAUCUCAUGAUCACAAAAAGGCAGCCAGCAGCAUCUGCAAUCACACGCUUUACAGCCAGAGCGGGAGAGAUGGAGCUACUUCAGGCAUUAAGCUCAGUUCCCAAACUGGUUGCUCUGAGCCAGGUCUAUUCCAGUUGAGCCUACGCUGGUUCCAGGGGUUCAGAGCCUGAUCUGGAGAGCUUAGUCACACUGGCUGGAGAUUCUACCAUCAACUUCUAAUCUUCCAAGAAUGUUCCUCUAAAUCUGAAGGCAAGGAGAAGUGGAAACCGAGAUAUGGUGCUCUGCUGGUUUGCAGUGUCAGCCCGGGCUAGGCAGGAAGAUUUCUGGGGGCAAAACCUCUGCAUCUGCAGGACUUCCCCUUUGCUGGCACUCAGAUGGCAUUGAAUACAUGAAUUUUCAUCAGUUUUUCAAAAUAUAACAGUAAUAUGUGGAGUGUUAAAAACUCAAAAGGCUAUAUGAAACAUACUUUUCCUCAUCUAAUACCUCCAGUUCCCAGAGUGAAUCACUGUCAUCUAUUUUUCGUGUAUUCUCCCAUUUGUGUUCUAUACGUAUACCAAAAUAUAUAAACAGUAUUUACACAGGUGUGUGUAUAUAUACAACCAAAGCCACCUUCUUCUAUACAUAGGGAUUAUAGUACAAAUGUUUGUUGAAUGAAUAAAUGAGUGACUAACAGUAACUGGGGGGCUCUGACUGUGAAAGGCUCUCAUUUAUGCCCCCAACGACUGUCAGUCAGGAAAACAGAGCUCACACAAGUUGUUUGAACAGAGAGAUUUUAACGUAGGGAACUGAGUAAACAAGAAUUGGAGGCGCAGAAAGACAGAAAGUGGCCAUUGAGGACUUACAGAGAUAGUAACUGCCAAAAGGCAGCUAUACCUUUAGGACAGAGGAACAAAGAAAGAGAUCAGGGUUAUUAGAACCUGGAAGCUUGGAGAAGAAACUGCAGUGCUAGGACCUAAAACUCAGAGAAGCUGGUGCUGGCUGAUUGGUGCUGAUGUUGCUGGACAUGCCAAGGUUCUCUGGAUCCAGACUGAGACAGAGGUGGUGUGAGAAGCUGGUAGGUGUUAGUGGGAAAUCAUCUGCGAGGAGGUGAGGAGGCAGACAGGGCAGAGGAAGAAGCUGAGAGACGUGCAGCUGCACCAGAGGCCCUGGCUGAUCCGGGGACCUCUGGAACAAGGAUGGCCCUUUAGGGUAGUCUCCAAUUUAGGUUGCCCCGACGGCCACUCUCCAUACUGCUGCCAGAAGAACCUUGAAAUAUCGCUCUUUUUAAUUAAAAAGCAAAACUCUUCAA
Long non-coding RNA from Homo sapiens (human), 1347 nucleotides. Ensembl annotates it as downregulated RNA in cancer, inhibitor of cell invasion and migration. Its record names the gene DRAIC. NCBI's taxonomy places the organism in Eukaryota, Metazoa, Chordata, Mammalia, Primates, Hominidae. The record is from Ensembl.